UGGCGGACGGGAUGAAUAACGAGUAAAAGAACUUGCCUCACAGUUGGGACAACAUUUAGAAAAUGAUGCUAAUCCCCUGAUAUUAUGAUUUUAGGGCAUCCCUAGGAUUAUGAAAAGCUAUAUGCACUGUGAGAGAGCUUUGCGUCCCAUUAGCUAGUUGGAGAGGUAACGGCUCACCAAGACGAUGAUGGGUAACCGGCCUGAGAGGGUGAUCGGCCACAAGGGGACUGAGACACGGCCCUUACUCCUACGGGAGGCAGCAGUGGGGAAUAUUGGACAAUGGACCAAGAGUCUGAUCCAGCAAUUCUGUGUGCACGAUGAAGUUUUUCGGAAUGUAAAGUGCUUUCAGUUGGGAAGAAAAAAAUGACGGUACCAACAGAAGAAGUGACGGCUAAAUACGUGCCAGCAGCCGCGGUAAUACGUAUGUCACAAGCGUUAUCCGGAUUUAUUGGGCGUAAAGCGCGUCUAGGUGGUUAUGUAAGUCUGAUGUGAAAAUGCAGGGCUCAACUCUGUAUUGCGUUGGAAACUGUGUAACUAGAGUACUGGAGAGGUAAGCGGAACUACAAGUGUAGAGGUGAAAUUCGUAGAUAUUUGUAGGAAUGCCGAUGGGGAAGCCAGCUUACUGGACAGAUACUGACGCUGAAGCGCGAAAGCGUGGGUAGCAAACAGG
Molecule: ribosomal RNA, 670 nt
Filed under: uncultured Fusobacterium sp.
Lineage: Bacteria; Fusobacteriati; Fusobacteriota; Fusobacteriia; Fusobacteriales; Fusobacteriaceae
Description: bacterial SSU rRNA
Rfam family: Bacterial small subunit ribosomal RNA
Source: RNAcentral